AUACGUAGGUGACAAGCGUUAUCCGGAUUUACUGGGCGUAAAGGGCGUGUAGGCGGUCUUGCAAGUCAGAAGUGAAAUUCCUGAGCUCAACUCGGGCGCUGCUUCUGAAACUGCAGGACUUGAGUGCUGGAGGGGAUAGCGGAAUUCCUAGUGGAGCGGUAAAAUGCGCAGAUAUUAGGAGGAACACCGGUGGCGAAGGCGGCUUCCUGGGCUUUUCCUGACGCUGAGGCUCGAAAGCGUGGGGAGCAAACAGGAUUAGAUACCGUGUUAGUCCACGCCGUAAACGAUGAAUACUAGGUGUCGGGUGGCAAAGCCAUUCGGUGCCGCAGCUAACGCAAUAAGUAUUCCACCUGGGGAGUACGUUCGCAAGAAUGAAACUCAAAGGAAUUGACGGGG
RNAcentral lists this ribosomal RNA (396 nucleotides) under uncultured bacterium. RNAcentral describes it as "partial 16S ribosomal RNA". It matches the Rfam family "Bacterial small subunit ribosomal RNA", at positions 523 to 918 of the family's 1533-position model. The record is from RNAcentral.